AAGGCAAGGAAACCGCGCGCCCCGCGGUA
RNAcentral lists this small RNA (29 nucleotides) under Bombyx mori (domestic silkworm). Its description in RNAcentral is "ovarian small RNA-10639". The record is from RNAcentral. Lineage: Eukaryota; Metazoa; Arthropoda; Insecta; Lepidoptera; Bombycidae.